UACGUAGGCAGCGAGCGUUGUUCGGAAUUACUGGGCGUAAAGCGCACGUAGGCGGCUUUGUAAGUUAGAGGUGAAAGCCCAGGGCUUAACCCUGGAAUUGCCUUUAAGACUGCAUCGCUAGAAUCGUGGAGAGGUGAGUGGAAUUCCGAGUGUAGAGGUGAAAUUCGUAGAUAUUCGGAAGAACACCAGUGGCGAAGACGACUCACUGGACACGUAUUGACGCUGAGGUGCGAAAGCGUGGGGAGCAAACAGG
This 253-nucleotide ribosomal RNA is filed under the name uncultured bacterium. RNAcentral describes it as "partial 16S ribosomal RNA". It matches the Rfam family "Bacterial small subunit ribosomal RNA", at positions 524 to 776 of the family's 1533-position model. The record is from RNAcentral.